ACGGGUGAGUAACACGUAGGUAACCUACCCUUCAGUGGGGGACAACAGAGGGAAACUUCUGCUAAUACCGCAUACGAUCACGGACUGGGAUGUUCGUGGUGAAAGGAUUUAUUCGCUGAGGGAUGGGCCUGCGGCCUAUCAGGUAGUUGGUGGGGUAAUGGCCUACCAAGCCUGCGACGGGUAGCCGGACUGAGAGGUCGAUUGGCCACACUGGAACUGAGACACGGUCCAGACUCCUACGGGAGGCAGCAGUGGGGAAUAUUGCACAAUGGGGGAAACCCUGAUGCAGCGACGCCGCGUGGAGGAUGACGGCCUUCGGGUUGUAAACUCCUUUUGUCGGGGACAAUGGUGAUGGUACCCGACGAAUAAGCCACGGCUAACUCUGUGCCAGCAGCCGCGGUAAGACAGAGGUGGCGAGCGUUGUUCGGAAUUACUGGGCUUAAAGGGCGCGUAGGCGGUGGUGUAAGUCUAGGGUGGAAUGCUACAGCUCAACUGUAGAGCUGCCUUGGAAACUGCAUUACUUGAGUCGGUGAGGGGAAGGUGGAAUUCCAGGU
This 554-nucleotide ribosomal RNA is filed under the name uncultured bacterium. RNAcentral's name for it is "bacterial SSU rRNA". It matches the Rfam family "Bacterial small subunit ribosomal RNA", at positions 102 to 674 of the family's 1533-position model. The record is from RNAcentral.